Molecule: transfer RNA, 84 nt
Filed under: Natrarchaeobius chitinivorans
Lineage: Archaea; Methanobacteriati; Methanobacteriota; Halobacteria; Halobacteriales; Natrialbaceae
Description: tRNA-Gly
Rfam family: tRNA
About the family: Transfer RNA (tRNA) molecules are approximately 80 nucleotides in length. Their secondary structure includes four short double-helical elements and three loops (D, anti-codon, and T loops). Further hydrogen bonds mediate the characteristic L-shaped molecular structure. tRNAs have two regions of fundamental functional importance: the anti-codon, which is responsible for specific mRNA codon recognition, and the 3' end, to which the tRNAs corresponding amino acid is attached (by aminoacyl-tRNA synthetases). tRNAs cope with the degeneracy of the genetic code in two manners: having more than one tRNA (with a specific anti-codon) for a particular amino acid; and 'wobble' base-pairing, i.e. permitting non-standard base-pairing at the 3rd anti-codon position.
Source: RNAcentral
GGAAGGGUCGCUCAGCGGUAGAGCACCGCGGUGCCCCCGCGGCGGCCUCACGUGCCUCGUGGCGUUCGAAUCCCACCCCUUCCG